This 3806-nucleotide long non-coding RNA is filed under the name Taeniopygia guttata (zebra finch). Its description in RNAcentral is "lncRNA (ENSTGUG00000029670.1)". Lineage: Eukaryota; Metazoa; Chordata; Aves; Passeriformes; Estrildidae. The record is from RNAcentral.
UUUUUUUUUUUUUCCCUUUCUCUGGAGCUGCUCUGGACUAAACACCAGAAGAGCAGCAACAGCAGCACCUGUGGCCCAGCGGGCCGGGCCUGGACCACAGCAUUUCCAGCACCGGAGGGACUGAUCAGAGACUGAGUGAGCCCAGCGGCAACCCAGGAGAUUUUUUCCUGAGUUUGUCUCUCUCUUGGAGUGGCAAGAAGUUUUAUUGUUUAAUAUUGUUUAAAAUUGCUUGUUUAAUAAACAGGUUUUUUCUACUUUCCUCCAAAGAAGUAUCCUUCCCGAACUGGUUGGUAGAGGGGGGAGGGGCCGAUUGAGUCUGCUUUCCUAAAAGAAACCCUUUUAGGGUUCUUUCCCCAAAUUUGACCUGAACCAGAACAGUCGGAUUCCCUUAGGACUGUCAGGGCGGCAGUAGUUUGAGGUGGGGGCAACUUGGGUCUGGGAGAAAUCGUUUGCCGUUCAGAAUUUUUGCAGGUGGCCUCCCCCUCUGGGCCACAGCCCCUGAGCACAAACAGCGGCCCUUUUCUCUGAGAAAGAAAACUCGCUAGCCCAGGUUCCUGAUGUCAGUUUGUAGGGUUCCCUUGGGACUGUGAGGGCAACAGUAGUUUGAGUUGGGGGCAGCUUGGAUCUGGGAGACAUCCUUCGGUGUUCACAUUUUUUGCAGACGGCUGCCCUCUCAGGGCUACAGGCCACACUGUACAGAUACAAUGCCACUUUUCCCUAGGAAAGAAAACUCGCCAGCCCAGGUUCCUGAUGUCACUUUGUCGGAUUCCCUUGGGACUGUCAGGGCAGCACAAGUUUGAGGUGGGGGAAGCUUUGGUCUGGGACACAUCUUUGCCAUUCAGAUUUCUUGCAGGCGGCCGCUUCCUCCAGGCCAAAGGGCUCUGAAGAGAAACAAUGCUACGUUUCCCUGGGAAAGAAAACUCACCAGCCCAGGUUCCUGAUGUCACUUUGUCGGAUUCCCUUGGGACUGUCAGGGCAGCAGUAGUUUGAGGUGGGGGCAGCUUGGGACACAUCCUUGGCUGUUUGGAUUUUUUGCAGUCGGCCGCCCCCUCAGAGCCACAGGCCCCUGAGCACAAACAGCAACCCUUUUCCCUGGGAAAGAAAACUCGCCAGCCAGGUUCCUGAUGUCAGUUUGUAGGGUUCCCUUGGGACUGCCAGGGCAACAGUAGUUCGAGGUUGGGGCAGCUUGUUCCUUUGGGAGAGAUGCAUUGCUGUAAUUUUGAAAUUAUAAUUUUGAAUUUUGAAAUUAGACACUAUCUCCUUAAAUGGAAGAACCAUGCUGUGGGGAAAGGCAUUAGACUCGAGGAACAAACAUGAAAACAUCAUUACCUGGGUGUAGUUUUCCUUUUCCUACCUAACAGUAAUUUUCAAAUUCUCAGGGACCAAAAGACAGGAAAAAGGCAGCUUUUCAAAAGAAGGCACUUUACUGAGAAGAUAGCCAACAUUUUUCAGUAUACUCAGAUGUCAACUUGACACAGUCCUUUCAUAAUUGGUUGAACUCCACAGAUGUGGUAUUUUGGUAAGGAGUACAUCUUCUGGGAAUCAGCUGGUGUGGAAAAACUGUAGAAGAUCAAAACACUGACUUUGGCUAACAACAUGGGCUAGAGCCCAUGAGCCAUGAGCUCUAGAUUUGGCAAAGUCCUAGCCACUGACUGUUCUGUAGUAGCUGUACUUCAAUAUGCUUUAUCAAGUUUCAGAUCCCAGUCUGUUGCCACGCAAUCCAAUUUUCAUAAUUAUUUCUCAGUUAAACUCCAUUUGAUUUAUUUCUGUUCAAAUGAAUCAGCACAGCUGAUAUGAAGUUUACCAGACGCUCACAGUCAUGGUGAUUCCUGCAGAUGUAAUACCAUAGCAAAAUUAAUUUAUCCAUUGGUCUAAAGCUUGGUUUAUAACUCUGAGAUAAGCCUUUUCCCAGGCCAGGGUGGACAGGUAGGACUUUAGUAUAAGUGGAGUAUGUUCUAUUAUACUCUUAUUCUGUCUUUGCUCUUUACUCUUCAUGUUAGUUUAGGGAUGGUAUUUGAUAGAGGAGCUAUAUAAUUAUUAAAAUGGAAGGUCUGAGGUUUUUAAACCUCGUUUUGCUGUUGCUGUACAUUGUUCAGGUGUUUUGCAGUUAAAGAGCCGGCUUGACUCAGUGGUUCAGGAUUCAAAAUCUGUCUCUUGUACACUUCUCUGAUCUGCAAGUAACUUGCUUUCAUGCUGUGACUUCCUCCUCUGUUAAAAUGGAAAUAAUGAUAGAAAGAAGAAAAGAGACUGUAUCCAGCCAUGCUGUUAUUUUUCAGAAUAAGGUUGACUUUUUACUAUGUGUUUGCACAAUUCUUGCACAACAGGACCCUGAUUACUACAGUAGUACAUAAAUUAUAAUAAUAAGAUGUCGUUUUAAUAUUUUCCACCAUCAACAUGAUUCACUGUAAGAUCUUACUUAAAUCUUACUAUUUAUUAUUUUACUACUUGUAAAAGAGCACAGUAAUUAGCAAAAAUCUCAUGCUACAAUUUUAUAACGCUACAAAUACUCAGCAACAAGUGAGGAAUAGACUGGCAUUUCAGUUUUAACAUGCAGCACUUAACUAUAAUAAUACUGUACCAAUACCUUACAUUGUCCAGAGAAGAGCAAUAACGGUCAUGACGGGUCUAGAAAAAGUGUCCUAUGAGGAGCUGCUGAGGGAGCUGGGGGUGUUUAGCCUGGAGAAGUGGAGGGUCAAGGGAAACCUCAUCACUCUCUACAUAUGCCUGAAAGGAGGUUCUAAUGAAGUGGGAACAAAUCUCUUCUGCCAUGCCUGAAGUGAGAGGACCAGAAGAAAUGGCCUUCAGCUAUUUAAGAUGGGAGAUUUAGAUUAGAUAUUAGAAAACAACUUUUCAUGUUAGGGUGAUCAACCUAUGUUUCUCAGGAGGUGGUGGUGUUUAAGAGGCAUCUUGAUGUGGAGUUGGGUGAGUUUGUUUAGGGGUUACAAUGGCAGUGCUGGGUGCUCGGCUGGACUGGAUGACCUUGAGAGUAUCUUCCAACCUUGAUGAUUCCAUAGUUCUAUCAUAUAUCAUUCCAAAGUGAUUGAAGUUCCCAAGUGGAAGACAAAACACAUAGAAAUGUGGUCAUCCAUACUUUAAUUGAAAAAUAGAAGCUUGAAGACAAUUUUCUGCCAAGAAUGUAUUUUAAGUAAUGAAGGGAAGGAGGAAUAAUAAAAGGAAGAAGAAAGCAGAAGGAAAGUUCUAAAAGAGCAGAAGUGUUAUCCAUUUCUGGAUGCUAAUUUGCACUCAAGAAGUCUUACUACCAAAAGAGAGUUGGUGACUUGCUCUAGUUGAAUGGCCAUUAGAAAAAGCUUCAGAGCUUUCAAGGAAUAAUUUACCAAUCUUAUAAACAUAAAAUUGCAUCUCCCAAUUAAUAUAAUAACUAAACAGUAAUACUGUAUCCUAUUCUAUCCUAUCCUCAAAGCAUGAGUAGAAUCAGCUAAGAAUAUGCAAUCAAGCCUGUCUGAAGGAAAGAAGCAUGACAGAAAAUGCCCAGCAUGACAGAUAUGCCCAAACAAGACACCUGCCAUGAAACCUAAGGCAUCUAAUGUAUAUAAUUUGCAAAAAAGCAUGACAGACAAUUGAGAAAUAAUGAGUAUUUUAGCAAAGUUAACACAGAUCUCUUUGAAUUAAACCUGAAGUUUUAGCUGCUAUGGUUUAGUUGUUAUUUCUAAACUUCCAAAAUAUGUAGGUUUACAAGAUCAGAUCAGUGCUUCAUUUCUCAGAUAGUUAUAUCACUAAGAGAAAUUGUUAUGUACAUUUUUUAAAAUCUACAAAUAUUUCCACUUACCAGAACUUUUUGUAUGUUC